AACGAGGUGCCUGAUUAAAGGAUUAUCUUGAUAGGAUAAAUCAUGUAAUUUAAUUACCCCCAUUA
This 65-nucleotide transfer RNA is filed under the name Dericorys annulata. RNAcentral's name for it is "tRNA-Ile". The record is from RNAcentral. Lineage: Eukaryota; Metazoa; Arthropoda; Insecta; Orthoptera; Dericorythidae.